GACAGCGUAGUAUAAUGGGUAUGGCAUUGGUCUUGUAACCAGAAGGUCGCAGGUUCGAUUCCCGGGUAGGACA
RNAcentral lists this transfer RNA (73 nucleotides) under Anguilla anguilla (European eel). RNAcentral describes it as "tRNA-OTHER". Lineage: Eukaryota; Metazoa; Chordata; Actinopteri; Anguilliformes; Anguillidae. The record is from RNAcentral.